GGGGUUAUGGCUCAGUGGUAGAGCACUCGCCUAGCAUGUGUGAGGCACUGGGUUCAAUUCUCAGAACCACA
Molecule: transfer RNA, 71 nt
Filed under: Marmota marmota marmota (Alpine marmot)
Lineage: Eukaryota; Metazoa; Chordata; Mammalia; Rodentia; Sciuridae
Also listed under: 3 other names
Rfam family: tRNA
About the family: Transfer RNA (tRNA) molecules are approximately 80 nucleotides in length. Their secondary structure includes four short double-helical elements and three loops (D, anti-codon, and T loops).
Source: Rfam by way of RNAcentral